CUUAACAUUACCAAGUCCCAC
RNAcentral lists this unclassified non-coding RNA (21 nucleotides) under Mus musculus (house mouse). RNAcentral's name for it is "oocyte_clustered_small_RNA5975". The record is from RNAcentral. Lineage: Eukaryota; Metazoa; Chordata; Mammalia; Rodentia; Muridae.